Falco peregrinus (peregrine falcon) is the source of this 2572-nucleotide long non-coding RNA. RefSeq lists it as uncharacterized. The record is from RefSeq and is a predicted model, not a curated record. NCBI's taxonomy places the organism in Eukaryota, Metazoa, Chordata, Aves, Falconiformes, Falconidae. The transcript has 5 exons.
AAUAGAAGGAAAAAGAAGGAAUAUUUAAAAAAGGAAAGAAAAAAGACAAGUGAACAGAAUAUUUCUCACUCACUGCUGGUUCAAUUCUGACAGAUGAAAUUACCUGUGUUAUCAUCUCCAAUGACUGGCCAGGUAAUAUAUUGAGGAAAUACCAAAAGUAGGAGAAUCAGUGACAAGGGGUUGCAAGAGGAGUCAUCUUGAGCAACUAAAUGGGGAAGAAUUAUGCUGAAGUUGUUCAGCAUUUUCAGACAGAGGAAUGAAGAGACCGGAGAACAGAGAGGAAGGAGGACUUGAGGACAGAGGACAUCUUCUAAGUUAUGAACACACUGUACAUUAGGCUUCAGCACUGUCACCCCUGAUGUUCCCCCUCCCGCAAACCAGUGACGCGGACAGGGAGGUGCGCACCGUCUACAGGCUAAAUUUUACAGUCACAAGAAUUACGUUCACCUAGGGGAAAAAACAGACUAUCAUUUGUGAAGGAAAUCUGGCAAAUAUAACGUGAUCCAGUGCAGACUGACUUGUGCUGUUUCAUCAGGUUGGAUAGAUGAUGCCCACUUCAAUUUCUGUGUGUGCCUAAGCUGAAGCCCUGCAACAUCAUUUUAUCUGUCAUCAUUAAACGCAUUUCCAGAUAUUUUUAAUAGAAGUGUCUGGCUACUUGGAGAUAAUGGACAAAGCAUUUACAGUAAUCACCUGUUCUCGCUAUUCAUGGGUGCGCAAGGAAUCCACCAGCACAGUGCAUCUUUUCAGAAGGAUUUGGACCCUGACAGCCUGACACCAUUGCCUUAAAGCCACAUCAAUGAAAGAUUUUCGCGCAGCUACCAAAAAGAUUUACUGGGGAGCCUGUGGGCUGAGCAUUUCCAGUCUGGUGAAGUAGAAGUAAUAAGAAAAACGGUCAUGCAACGAAAGCAAGUCCUUUACCCUCAAAUGUGAGCUGGGAGCAAAUGGACAAUGAUUUUUCAUGAGCCAGUCUGCUGUCGGAGCAGCGAUUCUCAUUGACAGAGAAGUUAAUAAACAUUAGGAGGAUAUUCCACAAUUGACAUUUCCAGUCCGUUCCUUUAAUCCUGGUUGUAAUUCAGCUCAGGACCUUACGGAAUCUUGAGCUUCCCAACCCGUCAUUUGAAUGUGUUGCUCAGGAUUGCUGGUGAGCUCCACUUGUGCCUUCUGGAAGUUUGUGGGUUGCUGACAGCCCCAUGCAGGGCACUGAGUGUGGUUGGAAGGAGGAGAUGCAAAGGCAACACACAGAAGUGUCUGAACUCCACAGAGGAUCGGAGCAAGCGACCUACCUGUCCCAAGGCAGCUGUACAGAGCAUGUCUGAGUCUGGGGAUUGAUCUCUGCAUCAAAAGAACGUAGGAGAAAACAGUAUGUACCCUAUAGAGAGCAGCAUCUGCUGGAGUGUUGUGAAGUACUCUUUGUUUUGGUGAGAAGCCAUGGAAACACUGGAGUAAAACCAUUAGGAGGUUGUGUCUGCUUCCUGCCUUGCUUUCUGCACAGUCUGUUGCAGGUUUAAUGAAAGCAAAUGUGGCCUUUGGGCAUGUUUCUGCUCACAGGGGUACUGUGCAGGCUGCUAUAGCCGUUAAUUUGAUAAAAAUUAGUAUAGGGCAAAUCUUGACCUCUUCCGAAACCAGUUAUGGAAAAUGAAAUAUUCUUCAUUGGAUCUGCCUGCUGUGGGUUUUUUUGGAGAAGUGUCUUACCAAGCCUGGUGGACACAAUGAUUGUUAUGUUUAGUGUAGUAGAAUGACAUUAUUCUGCUUCAGAAGUAGUUAAAUAAGUCAAGUACUUAGGAAAAGUCAGUUCUUUGCUAGCUCUGAGCAGUCUUGCUGGUAAGAUGGACAGUACCAGUAGAAUUGCACUGACAAAACAUUCACACUUGGAGACGGAAGUAGUAUCAGUGAGAACUUUGAGCAUGAAGAGAACAGGCGUGUGCCAGAGAACAAAAUCUCUGACUGGCAACUACUUCAGUGUAAAGACCAAAUCCAGACCUUGAAAUCCUACUGAUCAGCUGCAGCAUUAGUUACAAUAAGCUUUAUGUGGUGUUAAAGUAGCUUGAAAGCACCCUUAGAGUGAGUGAUAAGGUUUUUGUGGCAACUGGGUGUUUUCCUGACUCCUAUUACCCUGGGCUUUUGCAGGAAAAGUGGCUUUUAUGUAAGUUCAAAUAAACUCUGCGUGUGUAUGUAUGUGAGUGCGGUGACUGUACACUGCGGGUCUGGGAACACCGGACUCACUUCUUCCUGUACAUCCUGUACGGACAGACUCUACCAGGGAAGGGGCAGCUCUGGAGCCCAGGGCAGACAAACUGAUCAAUAAACCACAUGGGGUCCAACAUACUGAAGACAGGUCUGAACACGUUUAUUAAACCUACGCUAGUCUGAGCUGAAAAAUCACUGCAUCGUACAAAUCCACAUUUAGUUCACUCUGAGUAAAACUGCACUGUAAACAUAAGCAAAAAUCCAUGGGCAUUACUUACAGCUGAUUUAAUCUUUCAUACAACAUGUUUCAGUGAAAAGGGAAAAAUCAGGCAGGGCAUUUCCUAUGCAUGGGGGCUUUUCAGUGCAGCAUGUGUGUAAACAAGUG